UGAACCUUGAACAUUUGGACUAAUAAAGCUGACAGACUUGAUGUAGCUCAUGAAUUUAUUGUUAUUCUAUAAAUUCUGACACUACAAAAUGACACGAAUCUUUCCUAAGUUACUGACAGAGUUUACUUAUGACAAUAGCUUGUUCAUAUUAUAUACAAAGCCCUUGGGGGCUGGGGAUUUAGCUCAGCGGCAAAGCGCCUGCCUGGCAAGCGCAAGGUAGUGAGUUCGGUUCCCGGUACCGGAGAAAAACCAAAAAAGAGAAAAAAAAAAAAAAAAAAAAAAAAAAAAGCCCUUGUCCUGCAAAUGGCCAUGGAAUCUUUCCAAAGGAUGGUAUGCAUCUCCCAUUAGCCAAACAUGAUGGUAGUGUGUUCCUCUACCAUUGCUCUCCUAGGGAGAAGAGAGACCAACUUUUUUGCUCCAAGGGCUGUCUGCUACUUCCAGGGCCAGAACACCUUUGUUCAUCUUUGUGGAAGGAGGCAAUGUUUCCUCCACUUGCAACAGAAAAAUCACCCUAGGGCCAGAUCUGCAGGCUUUCUGGCCCAAAGCUAUGCUGGAGCUUGACAAAGAAAUGCAAGUUGGAAACCUUCAAAAUAAAAAGAAUAUUGUGAAUCCCUGUGCAGCAAGUUAC
This 628-nucleotide long non-coding RNA is filed under the name Chinchilla lanigera (long-tailed chinchilla). RNAcentral's name for it is "lncRNA (ENSCLAG00000027998.1)". The record is from RNAcentral. Lineage: Eukaryota; Metazoa; Chordata; Mammalia; Rodentia; Chinchillidae.